This is a long non-coding RNA of Eubalaena glacialis (North Atlantic right whale), 1550 nucleotides long. RefSeq lists it as uncharacterized. NCBI's taxonomy places the organism in Eukaryota, Metazoa, Chordata, Mammalia, Artiodactyla, Balaenidae. The transcript is spliced from 9 exons. The record is from RefSeq and is a predicted model, not a curated record.
GCGCUGCGAUCGGCUUUUCGGCAAUACCCGGAUGGAAGCAUAAUGGCCGCCAUCAGGGACUCGCAGGCAAUGGGGACCACGACAGAUAUCAUCUCUUCUUUUGAUCACUGCUCCUGAUUGUGGCUUUGUCCAAGCAUUAAAUUGUGUGCCUUUUGUUCCUUGAAGAAAGAGCUGGUGCUAGCAACCCCCAACUGUGUCUGGUCUCUGGACCCAGCUCAAAGCUCUGGAUUCAUUCUCUUCCCAUACCUCAGCCUGAGCCUUCUGUCACCCCAAAGGGCUUCACACAAGCUUCCUCUCAAGCCCUCACUUCUCUCACAAGAUGAAGAAACUAAAACACAGAGAUUGAGGCUUGUCUAGAGUAACACAAACCAAUGAGGAAACUGAGGUGCAGAGAAGUCAAACCUUGCCCAGUGUUACAGAGCAGAGCUGGAAGUAAAGCUUGUAUUUCCUGAGAUCCAGAUUAGUGUUAUUUCUACUUCAGACUAUUACUUCUUGGAGAUUAGCAAUUGGGUCACCACUUUGUACCAGGGAUGGUUCAUGCCUCAAAUACCCCAAGGAUGGAGUCCUUAUUGUCAACUGGGUGAUGAGGAAACAAGCUAGAGAGGAUACUAAGAUACUCCAGCUGGAAGAGACAGUGUUGCACUGGACCCCCACGUGGCUCAGAUGUGAAGAGCCAGCCUUAGCCGAUACCUGAUAUUGUUCUUCGUGCCUUCAUUGUACUUACUUGGCAGAGGGUGUGUUAAAAUCUGGGUAUGUCCAAAGGUCUGUCUCCUGCAUGGAAGAAAGUUUGAGAACUACUGAUCUCCCAUUACAGGAACCCAAAAUAAAAGCAGUAAGAACUCAAAGAUGCAAAUAAAUGAUGAUAGACUUCAGGGUUUCUUGAGGUGCAGAGAAAUUCAGAAGUUUGAAUCUCUGAAGAUUGUGUUUCAAGUUUGUGGCAAGUUACUUCGAGCUGCCACGUGAGAUGUUUUGUUCAUGACUUUACAACAUGGUAAUUUCAGGAGAAACAAUGAACACUUUGGUUCCCCACAGCCUGAUGAGCUUUGACCACCCCUGCUUUUGCCCCCGUCCUCCAGGAGACUUCCUUCCUAGGUCAGAAGAGGCCACUCACCCGCUUUGGGUUUGGAUGGCCAUUGCCUCUACUCUUGAAAUGAGAGUCCACGCUCCUGCACUGGGAGCCGUUUGGGAAUGAGGACACCCAAGCCGCAUGGGACAUGCCAAGAGCCUGUUCUCUGAUGGUUUUCAGAAGCUUCUGAAGCCAUGAAAUUUGCACAGGGUUGUACUUACUUCCUACAGAGGCUCACCCUAACGCUCCAUUAUCACUCCAAGCUCCCUGCUCAACAGGCAUGGAAGACUGUAAGGAAUGGAAGGACAGCAAGGCAAAAGCAUCAGGAAAGGCAGAAGAAAGCAAGACAAAGGAAGGGAGCGGUACCUCAGGAACAGCCUGGGAGAAAGAUGUGGGAAAUGAUGUAAAAAACUCAACAGAGCAGUCAAAGCAGACAGAUGGGACUGAACUGUCUUCUGUGGGAUGAAUAUAGUUUUCAUCUGCA